Molecule: long non-coding RNA, 337 nt
Filed under: Jatropha curcas
Lineage: Eukaryota; Viridiplantae; Streptophyta; Magnoliopsida; Malpighiales; Euphorbiaceae
Description: long non-coding RNA (JCUR_LNC002645)
Source: RNAcentral
CAAAGUUCCCCAACAAGUCAAGCAAAGCAGGGACCCAAUUAACUUGCACUGGAAAAGCAGCAAAAUCUACAUUUUUCUCUUUCAAUUUCCUCAACAACUCUGGUGGCAACCCUGGUAAUUGUAUUUUAACUCUUUGAAUCUUUUCAAGUGUUGGAUUGAAAAUUUCAGCAAUUGCUACUGUUCCAUUCUCAAACAAAUCUACGUUCCUAACAGCACCUUCAUCUAAAUAUUGCAAGAAUCUUGAAUAUGACAUUCUACUUGAAGUUGAAGCUAUUGGACUCUCUGGCUCAGCUUUUGCAGGUUGAGCAAUAAAAGAGAACCCUUCAGUUAAGAGACC